AUGAACGCUGGCGGCGUGCCUAAUACAUGCAAGUCGCGCGAACGGACGAGAAGCUUGCUUCUCUGAUGUUAGCGGCGGACGGGUGAGUAACACGUGGAUAACCUACCUAUAAGACUGGGAUAACUUCGGGAAACCGGGGCUAAUACCGGAUAAUAUUUUGAACCGCAUGGUUCAAAAGUGAAAGACGGUCUUGCUGUCACUUAUAGAUGGAUCCGCGCUGCAUUAGCUAGUUGGUAAGGUAACGGCUUACCAAGGCAACGAUGCAUAGCCGACCUGAGAGGGUGAUCGGCCACACUGGAACUGAGACACGGUCCAGACUCCUACGGGAGGCAGCAGUAGGGAAUCUUCCGCAAUGGGCGAAAGCCUGACGGAGCAACGCCGCGUGAGUGAUGAAGGUCUUCGGAUCGUAAAACUCUGUUAUUAGGGAAGAACAUAUGUGUAAGUAACUGUGCACAUCUUGACGGUACCUAAUCAGAAAGCCACGGCUAACUACGUG
Molecule: ribosomal RNA, 496 nt
Filed under: uncultured bacterium
Lineage: Bacteria
Description: partial 16S ribosomal RNA
Rfam family: Bacterial small subunit ribosomal RNA
Source: RNAcentral